GACGAACGCUGGCGGCGUGCUUAACACAUGCAAGUCGAACGGAAAGGCCCUGCUUUUGUGGGGUGCUCGAGUGGCGAACGGGUGAGUAACACGUGAGUAACCUGCCCUUGACUUUGGGAUAACUUCAGGAAACUGGGGCUAAUACCGGAUAGGAGCUCCUGCUGCAUGGUGGGGGUUGGAAAGUUUCGGCGGUUGGGGUUGGACUCGCGGCUUAUCAGCUUGUUGGUGGGGUAGUGGCUUACCAAGGCUUUGACGGGUAGCCGGCCUGAGAGGGUGACCGGCCAAAUUGGGACUGAGAUACGGCCCAGACUCCUACGGGAGGCAACAGUGGGGAAUAUUGCACAAUGGGCGGAAGCCUGAUGCAGCAACGCCGCGUGCGGGAUGACGGCCUUCGGGUUGUAAACCGCUUUCGCCUGUGACGAAGCGUGAGUGACGGUAAUGGGUAAAGAAGCACCGGCUAAGUACGUG
Molecule: ribosomal RNA, 468 nt
Filed under: uncultured bacterium
Lineage: Bacteria
Description: partial 16S ribosomal RNA
Rfam family: Bacterial small subunit ribosomal RNA
Source: RNAcentral